CUGCCAAAGAAUCGAUCUGUUUCUGGAUAGUAAGCACAGUUUCAGUCAUUUCUUGAAGAUUGCUUUUAAACUGGGAAGAGAAUAUAUUAUAUUGGGUCAUAGAAGUCAUUUUCCCUGCAAUUCCAGUACCAGCACCUAUGGCUAUUCCCAUAGCAACCAAGAGCGGUGUGAUUUGAACUGCCCUCUUAUGUUGAGCAGCUAUCAUAUCUACAACUGGGAUUGGCAGGGGCUCGUUUCCCUGGAUUACUCCCAGUUCAGGGAAAAGGAGUACCAACAUGCAAACUCCUGACCAGAUGGCGGGUAGGUGAUGAUAUACCUGAGUGCCACAAAGAAUUGAUGUGUUCUGGACUGCAGGACAUUGCGGCAAAGAUGAUAUAUUGAGGGUUAUGGUUCUGUUGCAGUCUAGGGAGCUUAGCGGUGCUACAGGAUAAGUCCCAGAGGUCUUAAAACAGUUUGCCAUGCCAAAGAGAGGGAUAGAGGUAAGGUAUGGAGUCAUGGCAACAUCAGAGUCAGGGCAGCUGACAAAGGGUGAGGUAAGGUUGCUUGGCAGUACCACCAGAGAUGCUGUAAGUGACAAUUGUGAGUUAGUUCCAAGGAUACACAUAACCAGAAAUCUUUAAAGCAUCCAGGCCUCGUGAGAGUAAGAUGUUGAGAUGCCGAGGUCAAGCAAAAGGUCUCCAUGCUUUGUCUCUUCUGCCCUAAAAUGGGGGCAAAGCAGGCCCUGGUCAUGUGCUGCAUCUUGUCCCUUGAGGGUCAGUAAGAUGACUAUUGGAGAUCUGUUCUGCUCAGCCUCAGCCUUUGCAUAGAUGCACAUCACAGCCUCCAAGGAGACCCCUUUGGAUAUGUACAAAUAUAAGGUUCUUUGGAAACCUCAGGACAUGAUGACAUCAUGAAGCAACGUGCAAGUCCUAAAAAUAAGAAAGGGAUGAUGACUCUAGACUUUUAUGAGCCAGUAUCAGCCAACUCAACAGCGACUAGUUGAAUAGCACAUCUCGUGAAAGGUGUUGACAUUUACUUCUAAAAGACAAAUUUGUAAUCACAUGGCAGAAAGGAUGCUCCCAUUGUUAUUUAUGUGCCUAGCCAUCAUGAAUAUGAGUGAGAGACCAGAGGAUGGUCACACAAAGUUUCACAUACAUCAUCACAUGAGAAACUUCUCA
Long non-coding RNA from Mus musculus (house mouse), 1157 nucleotides. RefSeq annotates it as predicted gene, 39209. Lineage: Eukaryota; Metazoa; Chordata; Mammalia; Rodentia; Muridae. The transcript has 3 exons. The record is from RefSeq and is a predicted model, not a curated record.